This 253-nucleotide ribosomal RNA is filed under the name uncultured bacterium. RNAcentral describes it as "partial 16S ribosomal RNA". It matches the Rfam family "Bacterial small subunit ribosomal RNA", at positions 524 to 776 of the family's 1533-position model. The record is from RNAcentral.
UACGAAGGGGGCUAGCGUUGUUCGGAAUCACUGGGCGUAAAGGGUGCGCAGGCGGAUUUUUAAGUCAGGGGUGAAAUCCCGGGGCUCAACCUAGGAACUGCCUUUGAUACUGGGAAUCUUGAGUCCGGAAGAGGUGAGUGGAACUGCUAGUGUAGAGGUGAAAUUCGUAGAUAUUAGCAAGAACACCGGUGGCGAAGGCGGCUCACUGGUCCGGAACUGACGCUGAGGCACGAAAGCGUGGGGAGCAAACAGG